GCCAGCAUAGCUCAGUGGUAGAGCAGCUCAUUCGUAAUGAGCAGGUCCUCGGUUCGAGUCCGAGUGUUGGCUCCA
This 75-nucleotide transfer RNA is filed under the name Lentisphaerota bacterium. RNAcentral's name for it is "Lentisphaerae bacterium (anaerobic digester metagenome) tRNA-Thr". It matches the Rfam family "tRNA". Rfam says of the family: Transfer RNA (tRNA) molecules are approximately 80 nucleotides in length. The record is from RNAcentral. RNAcentral also lists the same sequence under 1 other name. Lineage: Bacteria; Pseudomonadati; Lentisphaerota.